AACCUACACUUUUUUCACUGUACGAAAUAUCUGCGCCCACGACGAGAUCGACAGUUUAUUGAAGCGCGAUUUGUUGAGUCAAGUGCGAAAAUAAUUACGGUGUCUAAGACACGUUUUAUCGUUAUUGCGUAUCUACGAGUAAGGAUUCUUCUGUGCUUUAAUGCCUGAGGGGCCAAUUUUCACGGCUUAGGAAUAUCGAAGCGUAAAGGCAAAUAUAUUUUACCAAAAAUUUUUCAACGACGAACGGAUCUGAAAUAAUUUCCCCUGAAAGAAAUUAAAAAAAAAUAAAUAAAAUAAAUUCAAAGCAAACGUAAAAUAAAUACAGGGAGCAGGAAUGAUCCUGUUUGGAUUAAUCAUCCUUUCAACCCUGAGCUGGGAAACUCAGGGGAUAUUCUACCACAUUCAAGAUUGCGAGAUUGAGGCAAUCGACGAAGAAUGGUUCGACGUUGAUGCAAGCUCUUGUGAGCUGGAGCUUUUGAACGAUACGUUUAACGCCCUGAAACUGGAUUUAAGUGUUAUCAAGGACUUUCCAGAGGAUACGUAUGGAGAAUUUGAUGCGUUCUUACGUAGAGCUGGAAAUUACAAAACGAGCGCAGGUAUUUACGUUAAAGAAGAUAUCUGCAGUUUUGUCAACGAGGAAGUAAUGUUAGGGGAUUUCUUUAAAACCAUUGGUAUAACCGAGAAUAAUUGCCCCCCGAAAAAGGGUAUUUUUACAAUGGAAAAAUCGUGGUACCCGUCAAGAAAAUUAUUGCCGAAGACGGUGGAUGGAAUGGAGUACAAGACGAUGUUCGCCAUUACUAUAAACGAAAAGCGUGUAUUGAUUCUCGCGGUUUACACUGACGUAGCUUCGUCGGAAUGGGAAACUGAUGACGAUGCCGACAAUUAGGUCAGAGAUCAAAGCCACGUUCUAACAAGAAAAAAUAAAAAUAUUGACUCAAAACGCUUUUAUUUGAGUAAAGAGACACUUUUUGGAUGAUUUUGAGAUGUUUUGGACAUGUUUGAGAAAUCGAGUAUUUAUUAUUUUCAUAAUUUCCCUUUUUAUCGCAAUGAGAGAAUAAUUCUACAAAAUGUAUAGCGGCUAUAGAUUUGACAGAAAAUUUUACCCCCCCCUUUUUAUACACUCGACAAUUAGUGCAUGUCGAGAAAAUCGUGAAGAACGAAAAAUCAAUAUUGUAAACCAUAGUGCGCAAAAAACCGAACGGGUUAACCAAUCGAUGAUACGUACGGUAAUGAAAGAAAAUUUUACUUCGCUCCCAAUGUGACAAAUUUAAAUAUUAUCUUGCAUCGUGUAAAAAAUUGUAGCAGAAAUUCUGUAUUUUGCAAUGAUUUCGUUUUCAUACAAUUCUGCUGUUAUUUUUACCUCAUUAAUCAAUUGUAUGAUAAUUUGUGCUUUAUUUUAUUUAUUUUUUUCAUCCGUUCGUCAUUCUGUAGUUAAUAUAUAAAUACGUGUAAGAAAUAAUAUAAAAAUAAAAAUUAAUCGAGCAUCGAACAGUCUAUGAUACAUCAUUGCAGAUUGAAGGUGAAAAAAAAAAAGAUGCAAAAUAUCUUGUAAACGAGAACGAAAUAAUGGUGAGCCGAAAUUUGGAUAAAAUUUUUUUUUUUAUAACACGCGUAAUUGCAGAACUCAUGACUUAUUCGCCAUUGGGUAUUUGUAAGCCCUGUAACGAAAUAUCCACUAUAAUAUACGAUUAAAGGGAUGACAGAGAAAGUGGCGAAGGUUUGGAGUUGGGGGGUUGGAUUUGGAGGGGUGGAGGGAUGGUUAAAACUUCCUCGAUUUGUAAUAUCGGCGUUCCUCUCUCUCUCUCUCUCUCUCUCUCUCUGUCUCUCCGUUUCUCUCACACACAUUAUUUCACAUCGAACGAACAAAUGAACAAACAAACCGUUCCGUUUCCCCAGUGGAAUUUGGCGCGGUAGUUAUCACGGAUCGUUCCAAAACGGAAGAGGAGAGAGGCAACGAGUGAGAGAAAGAGAGGGGGAGAGAGAGAGAGAGAGAGAGAGAGAGAGAGAAGGAGAAGAGCAGAAACUGUUCAGGGAUUUCUGUCCCCAGUUUCUCCCACACGAGAGGCUUACAUGGGAUUGGUAUAUAGUGCUUACACAUGCGCAUGGGAAACGUGUAAAUGUGCGCAAGUAUGCUGUAGGCACCGUAACGUAAAAUUAUUCGAAAAUACGAGCCACGAAAUCUCGAGGGGGACUUUUUGGUAGCCGAGGAACAAGAGGAUCGCCUGCAGGUUGUACACCGUUUGGCCAUUGAAAAGGAGAAUGGUGGAUAUUGGAUGAAGGGUGGAAUAUAACGAACGAAGUGAAGAGACAAGAGAUAAAGAGAAAUCUUCAACGAAUAAUGAAAAUCCGUCGCACGAUUCUCGCUCUUCUCGUUUCGCAACGUAUGUAUAUAUUAUACAUAUUAUUAUAUUAUAUAUAUUUAUAUAUAUUAUUAUUAUAUUAUAUAUAUAUAAUGCAGAGAGUACAAUUAAGCUUCCGUCCCCUCUUAAAUAUAUCAAAAGUAAGCCGGGAAGAGGGUUGAAAAGGUGUUUAAGGGGUAACACUACUCUGGAAACCUAAGAAAUGCACCAUUUUAAACAUUUUUUUUUUAAAUAUAUAUAACCGAAGAAAAGGUAAUAAGAUAAUAAUAUUUGAGAAAUUCAUUAUGAAUUUAGUUAAGUACGAUACAAAAAAAUUUUGUCUUCAGCAAAUAUUAAAAAAUGGCGACACUGGAACAACUGUAACUGGUGAAAAUUUGAAUUUGGAAACGAAAAAAAAAAGUGAAAAAUCACUCAAUCCACGUAUUAAUAGCUACAGAAAUUCGUAAGGGAUUUUUGAUAAGCUAAUUUAAACAUUAUUUAUUAACGAACAAGUUGCCUUUCUUUUGGUGAAAAAUUCAAGAUUUUCUUCCAAAUAUUCCCUAAUCGCACAAUUUUUACGAUUGCGAUGUUUUCAAAAACGUGUUCGACUCUGGAAGAAAAAGAAAAAAAAAAAAAAUUGGAACAGAACAAUCAAUUCUUUAAACAACGGCGUCAAGUUGAGUAUUAAAAAGUAACGAUAAAUCGAUCGCAGAAAAA
Molecule: unclassified non-coding RNA, 3056 nt
Filed under: Neodiprion pinetum (white pine sawfly)
Lineage: Eukaryota; Metazoa; Arthropoda; Insecta; Hymenoptera; Diprionidae
Description: uncharacterized LOC124223641, transcript variant X3
Source: RNAcentral